UACGUAGGGUGCGAGCGUUGUCCGGAAUUAUUGGGCGUAAAGAGCUCGUAGGCGGUUUGUUGCGUCGGCCGUGAAAACCUGCAGCUUAACUGUGGGCCUGCGGCCGAUACGGGCAGACUUGAGUUCGGUAGGGGAGACUGGAAUUCCUGGUGUAGCGGUGAAAUGCGCAGAUAUCAGGAGGAACACCGGUGGCGAAGGCGGGUCUCUGGGCCGAUACUGACGCUCAGGCACGAAAGCGUGGGGAGCAAACAGG
Molecule: ribosomal RNA, 253 nt
Filed under: uncultured bacterium
Lineage: Bacteria
Description: partial 16S ribosomal RNA
Rfam family: Bacterial small subunit ribosomal RNA
Source: RNAcentral